CCGCCCGCGCUCCCCUCUCCCAUUCAUCCUGCCGCCGUAUCGACCCGCGGCCGACCCCGCGCGGCCAGGCGCCCCCGCCCGCUGCCCUCUCCUUUCCCAGCCCGGCCUCCCCCGCGGGGGCUGUCACCGAGCGCCUGGCACGGCCGGGCCAUGCCCCGGGGAAGGAGGGACCAGGGCCGGGGGCGGGAGCCAGCCCUUGUGCUCGCAGCCCUGGGUUCGGAGCCCAGCUGCCCGGGAAGGUUUCCAGAUCUCCCUGAGCCUCAGUUUCCCCAUCUGUAAACUGGGUGGUGGUGGCUUCGUCCCCCGCUUUGAGAGGACAGCAGGAGAGGCGUCCUGAGAAUGCACAUUUGCGAGCGGGUGAAAAUUUCUGUGAAUGUUUAUAAGCACAUGGAACGGGCAUCUUUGUGGCUGCGGGAGUUGCACGGCUCUCCCGGGCAGUGUCCAUCACACUCAUGGCUUCCUAGACUUCCAUCUCCGGUCUAAUCACCUUCCGAACGCCAGAACCAUCACGUCUGCUGCCCUUGAACACCUCCCCUAGGUGUCCCUGUGGGCCACCCAGGUUCCCUCCACCCCAGUCUUCCCCACCUGCUUCUCCUUCAUGCUUCCCUCUCAGGGAGUUUGAGACCAGGCUGACCAACAUGGAGAAACCCCGACUCUACUAGAAAUACAAAAUCAGCUGGGUGUGGUGGCGCAUGCCUGUAAUCCCAGCUACUCGGGAGGCUGAGGCAGAAUUGCUUGAGCCUGGGAGGCGGAGGUUGCAGUGAGCCGAGAUUGCACCAUUGCACUCCAGCCUGGGCAACAAGAGCAAAACUCCGUCUCAAAAAAAAAAAAAAAAAAAAAGUAAAAGUAAAAGAAAGUCAAUCACCAAUAAUGCUGGAAUAUGUCAACUUUUCUCCCACCUCUUGCCACUGAUCCAGACCCCAUUCCCUCUGCCCGGGUGAUCCCUUAUAGCUACCCAGGGCUGCGGCUUUGCUCCAUUCAAGCCAUUUUCCACGCAGCAGCAGCCAGGGCCGUCUUUCCAGAGUGUAUUAGGUUGGUGCAAAAGUAACUGUGGUUUUUGCAAUUAAAAGUAAUUGUAGGCCAGGCACAGCGGCUCAUGCCUGUAAUCGCAGCACUUUGGGAGGCUAAGACAGUUGGAUCACUUGAGGUCAGGAGUUCGAGACCCACCUGGCCAACAUAGUGAAACCUGGUCUCCACUAAAAAUACAAAAAUUAGCUGGGCAUGGUGGCACACGCCUGUAAUCCCAGCUCCUGGGGGGGUGGGGGGGCAGGGCUGAGGCAGGAGAGUCGCUUGAACCCAGGAGACGACAGCUGCAGUGAGCUGAGAUCACGCCACUGCACUCCAGCCUAGGCGACAGAGUGACUCUGUCUCAAAAAAAAAAAAAAAAAAGGAAUUGCAAAAACCGCAAUUACUUAAUAGAUCUGACCAAGACUCUCCCCAGGUUCAAACCCCGGCUUCAAACCUUUUGCUCCUUAUAGUCUUUUUUUAAAACUCUUAUCUGUGGCUCAUUGUGUCUCAAGACAGCCAAGCAAACCGAACUGCUAGGAAUUUUCCCAAUGGAACAUUCUCUCUGCAAGUCCUUUGCUCUUGCGGUUGCUCCUCCAGGAGCUCCUGCCUCCCUCUUCUCUUCCCUUCCUUGAGGCUCAGCAUGGGAGAGGCCCUGCUGCAGGUGCCCUCUGACCUCUCAGGUAGGGGAGGGGGCCUCUGUCCUCUGCAAACCUGCGCUGAGUGCUCUGGAUGGUUCCGUCCCUUGGAUUGGGCCUCCCCAAGGGCAAGACCCUGCCUGGUUCACCCUGGCCGCUCAUGCAGAGGCCUGCCUAACAUAGCUGCUGAAUGAAUGAAUGAAUGAAUUGAAUUGAAUAAUGGACAAAGCCCAACAGGGAGGGUUAGCAUAAAGGGGAGACAGG
This 1907-nucleotide long non-coding RNA is filed under the name Homo sapiens (human). RNAcentral's name for it is "HSALNT0156028". Lineage: Eukaryota; Metazoa; Chordata; Mammalia; Primates; Hominidae. The record is from RNAcentral.